CUGGUAAAAGUAUUGGUGGUACAUCUGACUGUUAAUCAGGGGGAGUAGAUUGUUAAGUUUGCUUACUAGGC
Molecule: transfer RNA, 71 nt
Filed under: Trisidos kiyonoi
Lineage: Eukaryota; Metazoa; Mollusca; Bivalvia; Arcoida; Arcidae
Description: tRNA-Asn
Source: RNAcentral